AAAGAUUCAAUUUCUAGGUUUCCGUAUAUAACGUUUGACCAUCCGUCUUAUUUGAAAAAAAUAUGAAAAUUUUUUUAAAAAAUAAAUCACAUAUAAAAUAUUAUUCAUAUUUUAUCAUCUAACAACAAUAAAAAUACUAAUCAUAAAAAAAUUCAUAUAAGACGGAAAGUUAAACGUUCGACACAGAAACUCAGGAAUUGAGUUUUU
Oryza rufipogon (brownbeard rice) is the source of this 207-nucleotide microRNA precursor. It matches the Rfam family "MIR812 microRNA precursor family". The record is from Rfam. NCBI's taxonomy places the organism in Eukaryota, Viridiplantae, Streptophyta, Magnoliopsida, Poales, Poaceae.